GCCACACCGGCUUCCAGCGGAACAGCAGCAAAGGGACCCCUGCCAUCAUCCAGACCACGAUGUGAUAGCCUAUGACCCUCCAUGGACUGCCACAGUAACCGCUGAGCCUCUGCGGAGACGCCGACAGAGAAGGCCGAGAAGCCGCGGCUGUUUCCAUGCAGCCGCUGUGGUCAAAAAGGAGCCGAGGUGGCUGUUCUGCCUGACGGUCACGGCUCUGUUUGCCGUAACUGACCUGCAACAUUUUGGGAAAAGACAGUCCCCGCUGUCCCUGCCAACUCUUGGGUACAGAGUCCUUUGCUAAAACUGGCAUGUUUCCAGAGGUCAGGAGAAACGUUCUGUGGGUGGGGUCUCACAUAUAGUUGUUACCAGAAGGAGGCUUUCGAGAACUCGCCUGCUGAGACCAAGGACCCGUCUGGAGGGGCAGAUGGGAGCAGGCUGGACACGUGUACUGGAAAGGACCUGUGUGGUGCUUUGGGCCCUUGCCCUGAAAGGCUUAAGGUGUCAGUACCAGCACCAAAGGCAGUCAAACCUUCGAUGCUGAGGAGCAUAAGAAGCGGACCAUAAGCUUAUUCAAGACAACUGUAGUCACAGCUGUGCGAGACGAAGGUUCUGGCGUGAGUGAAGUGGCGCUUUCCGUGCGUGGGGAUCCUGGGGUCAGGACCGCGACGGAGCACAACCCCCUCAGGACCUGGCUGCCCCCAGGUUUCCUGGCAGCGUCUGAUUCUGAAGACGCUGAAGACGCCAGCUUGUUGCUGAUGCUGUGUUCAGAGUGAGGUCUGCUGGGGCGCCUGGGCGGCUCGGUCGGUUAAGCCUCCGACUUCGGCUCAGCUUAUGACGUCACGGUUCGUGGGUUCGAGCCCCGCGUCGGGCUCGGUGCUGACAGCUUGGAGCCUGGAGCCUGCUUCCGAUUCUGUGUCUCCCUCUCUCUCUGCCCCUCUCCCGCUUACUCUCAAAAAUAAACAUUAAAAAAAUAAUAAUAAUAAAGCGAGGUCUGCUGCUCACAAAGCCGUGUCUGUGAUUAAGCUCCCCUCAUUCCCCUAGUGUUUCUCUCCCAACUGUGAACCCAUAAGCACCUGGCCUGACCAAUAAAAGACUGAGGUAAAAA
Long non-coding RNA from Acinonyx jubatus (cheetah), 1105 nucleotides. RefSeq lists it as uncharacterized. NCBI's taxonomy places the organism in Eukaryota, Metazoa, Chordata, Mammalia, Carnivora, Felidae. The record is from RefSeq and is a predicted model, not a curated record. The transcript has 2 exons.